This 289-nucleotide long non-coding RNA is filed under the name Lathyrus oleraceus (garden pea). RNAcentral describes it as "Pisum sativum (pea) long non-coding RNA (PSAT_LNC017450)". Lineage: Eukaryota; Viridiplantae; Streptophyta; Magnoliopsida; Fabales; Fabaceae. The record is from RNAcentral.
UUUCAUUCAUAUUUUUUUUCUCCUUUUACUUUUUUCUUUUUUUUUUUUCUUUUUCAUAAGGAGUAUGUAUUGACAUGUAUACAUCCUUCUAUUUUUUUUUCAUUCAUUUUUUUUCUUUUUUAUUUUCUUUUUCUAUUUUUCUUUUCUUUUUCUACCAACUUCUGAAAUAUUGCAAACAUAAUUAUUCAACCCCACACAACUCCAGAUAAGACUCUUUCAACCCUUUGACUAGGGUGAUAUAACAUUGUUUUUCACUUCUCGAUUUGUAAUGAGUUUUAAACAAAAAAAA